GCCAGGGUCGCACUGGCGUUCAGGAAGGGUUGUCGGUUAGAAGAGGCCCGGAUGUUGACCCUUUAUUACUGACGUGGGAUCAGGUUGGGGCAAGCCCACUCAACUCUGGCACUGUGGGUAGCCCGAAUGCAACCACUGAUAAUGUGGCAAUGAUGAGUGUGACUGUGAGCCAAAGACUUUCUCUUCAAAAACAAGACAGCAGAAGACACAGUCCCUUAGAUGAUUGCCGAGGAACAUCUGGGAUUCCAUGGAACCUCUCCUCACAGAACCUUCAUCUGGCGAUGGAUGGAGAUAGAGACAUUGGAGCACAGGACUGAGCUCCCAAGGUCCAAAUGAAGAGCAAAAGGAGGGAGAACAUGAGCAAGGAAGUCAGGACCGCAAGGGGUGCGUCCACCCACU
This is a long non-coding RNA of Alexandromys fortis (reed vole), 399 nucleotides long. RefSeq lists it as uncharacterized. The transcript is spliced from 3 exons. NCBI's taxonomy places the organism in Eukaryota, Metazoa, Chordata, Mammalia, Rodentia, Cricetidae. The record is from RefSeq and is a predicted model, not a curated record.